This 229-nucleotide ribosomal RNA is filed under the name uncultured bacterium. Its description in RNAcentral is "partial 16S ribosomal RNA". It matches the Rfam family "Bacterial small subunit ribosomal RNA", at positions 111 to 334 of the family's 1533-position model. The record is from RNAcentral.
UAACGCGUAGGUAACCUGCCUUGUAGCGGGGGAUAACUAUUGGAAACGAUAGCUAAUACCGCAUAACAAUGGAUGACCCAUGUCAUUUAUUUGAAAGGGGGCAAAUGCUCCACUACAAGAUGGACCUGCGUUGUAUUAGCUAGUAGGCGAGGUAACGGCUCACCUAGGCGACGAUACAUAGCCGACCUGAGAGGGUGAUCGGCCACACUGGGACUGAGACACGGCCCAG